UAGAAAGUAAUAUAAAGGAAGUAUGGAGGGUUUUGAUCCCUUUAGUGUGGGUUCGAUUCCUGCCUUUCUAA
RNAcentral lists this transfer RNA (71 nucleotides) under Camarhynchus pallidus (woodpecker finch). Its description in RNAcentral is "tRNA-Gln". It matches the Rfam family "tRNA". Rfam says of the family: Transfer RNA (tRNA) molecules are approximately 80 nucleotides in length. Their secondary structure includes four short double-helical elements and three loops (D, anti-codon, and T loops). Lineage: Eukaryota; Metazoa; Chordata; Aves; Passeriformes; Thraupidae. RNAcentral also lists the same sequence under 7 other names. The record is from RNAcentral.